This 427-nucleotide ribosomal RNA is filed under the name uncultured Chlamydiales bacterium. RNAcentral's name for it is "partial 16S ribosomal RNA". It matches the Rfam family "Bacterial small subunit ribosomal RNA", at positions 355 to 774 of the family's 1533-position model. The record is from RNAcentral. Lineage: Bacteria; Pseudomonadati; Chlamydiota; Chlamydiia; Chlamydiales.
UCGAGAAUCUUUCGCAAUGGGCGCAAGCCUGACGAAGCGACGCCGUGUGAGCGAAGAAGGCCUUCGGGUUGUAAAGCUCUUUCGCUAGGGAACAAGAAAGACGAGUGAAUAAUUCGUUGAUUUGAUGGUACUUGGUAAAGAAGCACCGGCUAACUCCGUGCCAGCAGCUGCGGUAAUACGGAGGGUGCAAGCAUUGAUCGGAAUUACUGGGCGUAAAGGGCGCGCAGGCGGUCAGGAAAGUCAGAUGUGAAAUUCCGGGGCUCAACCCCGGAGCUGCAUUUGAAACUUCCUGGCUAGAGUUCGGUUAGGGAAAACGGAAUUCCACGUGUAGCGGUGAAAUGCGUAGAUAUGUGGAAGAACACCGGUGGUGAAGACGGUUUUCUGGGCUGAUACUGACGCUGAGGCGCGAAAGCAAGGGGAGCAAACA